This 1507-nucleotide long non-coding RNA is filed under the name Homo sapiens (human). RNAcentral describes it as "HSALNT0307691". Lineage: Eukaryota; Metazoa; Chordata; Mammalia; Primates; Hominidae. The record is from RNAcentral.
AUCUGUGUAUCUAGCGAGACGGGAGAAAGUGGUCAUUUUAGAACAAGCCACCACAAGCCAGACAAAGGAAACCAAGAGAAUUUGCCAGUAGCAGAUAUACCCUCACUAGCAGAUAUACCCUAAAUGAAUGGCAAAGGAAGUCCUCUAUAACCAGAAGAAAAAGGAUUGAAAAAAGGAGUCUUAGAACACCAGGAAGAAAAGAAGAAUAAUGGAAAAAGCAAAAAUGGCAAGUUGAGCAGUGAAGUGGCAGCCUGCUGUGUUGGGGUGAUGGCCUCACUUUUGUCAUAUUAAUGUGAGAUACAUAAGCAGAGUCUCACUGUGUCGCCCAGGCUGGAGUGCAACGGCGCGAUCUCAGCGGCUCACUGCAACCUCAGCCUCCUGGUUCAAGCAAUUCUCCUGCCUCAGCCUCCUGAGUAGCUGGGAUUGCAGAUGCGCACCAGUAUUAUCACAAUUUAAAAAAGGGUUUUGUAAAAUAUUAACUCUCAAUCUCCACUAAACCUAAAACAUCUCAUAUACACUCUAAUAUCAAAAAACAAAUGGUUUAACUGUAUUUAAACAGUGGGAAUAAACAUAGAGAGGUCAUUAUGUCAAUAUCAAGUUCACUCUAAUGUGUGAGUAAAUUUUAUGAUUAAGAAGUGUUGUCUAAUUGUUUUCUAAGGCAGUGGGACUCACCUAGCACAGCUGUGAAAAUUCCACAUCUUUUCACACUGAAGUUUAAAUUGAAAAAUAGAGGCCAUGUAAGUUUAUGAAGUAUGGUGAUAAAGUUAUUUCGUGACCGUUUUUUUUAAAUGUCUAUCAAUGGAAAUACUGUAACUGAUGUGGUGGUAAUAUUUAGCUACCAGAAAAAAACCAUGGCUAAGCCUUAUGAAUAUUAUCACUUCUCCCUGUAUAGGCCUGCACUGGAAAAGUCAUUCAUUCAACUACAGUAUUACACCUCUCAUGGUAACCAUUACUGGAGGCUGAUUCUUUACCUCUCCACCUCCUUUAAUCUGUAACAAGAGAGUGAUGGCUACAAUUCCACAGACUUUAAACACUGGUCAGCAUUUAAGUUUUUCUUCUAUCUUUCAGGAGGCACUAAGAACAUAUUUUGCACAAAAAACACUAAUAAGAUUGCAGAAUAAAAGUCUCAAUCAUGCAUAUAUUCUUUCCCCACUUCUUUUACUCUUCUGUUGAGUUAGUGCUUAAAACAAAAUACCGCACCUUUCUCCAUCAAUUUCCUCCAUGAAAUUCAAAGUAUUCAGGUGAGGAUAGGUUAUUUUCACAUCCAGCCUGUGUAUCUCGCUGCAUCAUGAGAAGCUCAGCUGCUGCUGUUGUUUUGUUUUUGUCUGAAGGCAGGAUGUGUUUGAUUCUCUUUUUAAAGUUACUCAAGAGAAAAUGUUGACUGCUGUAAUAAAAAUCUGGAUGAAAUUGUAGUACAAUGUGUUCUGAGACUCAUACUCUAGGAAAUGUAUGCAGAGUACACUGAGAUUAAUAAAUGAAGUGGAAAAAUCUUCUAUAUUAAAAUGUU